UACAGAGGUGGCAAGCGUUGUUCGGAAUUACUGGGCGUAAAGGGCGCGUAGGCGGCCUACUAAGUCAGACGUGAAAUCCCUCGGCUCAACCGGGGAACUGCGUCUGAGACUGGAAGGCUUGAAUCCGGGAGAGGGAUGUGGAAUUCCAGGUGUAGCGGUGAAAUGCGUAGAUAUCUGGAGGAACACCGGUGGCGAAGGCGGCAUCCUGGACCGGUAUUGACGCUGAGGCGCGAAAGCCAGGGGAGCAAACGGG
Molecule: ribosomal RNA, 253 nt
Filed under: uncultured bacterium
Lineage: Bacteria
Description: partial 16S ribosomal RNA
Rfam family: Bacterial small subunit ribosomal RNA
Source: RNAcentral